RNAcentral lists this long non-coding RNA (1905 nucleotides) under Cavia porcellus (domestic guinea pig). Its description in RNAcentral is "lncRNA (ENSCPOG00000009856.4)". The record is from RNAcentral. Lineage: Eukaryota; Metazoa; Chordata; Mammalia; Rodentia; Caviidae.
CAAUCUCCCUCUAUCCAUGUACAAAAAUCUACAUUUACUCAAACGUGGUCCUGUCAUCUUUUUCUGGAACACUGUCAGAACUCUCCAAACCCCCAAUCCCAGAUUGAAUUUCUCAGGAUUCUGUUUCCUCUAGAAUCACUGGCUCCUGUCUCUCAUGUCCAGCAACACAGCUGUCUUUGAAUGAGCACUUCCUGUCCACGUAGCCUGCUUGGAGUGCACUCGGCGACACAGCUGUCAAUGAUUUUGCCCCCACUUCACCCAGGAAUUCUUCACCCUGGUCACGACCUCUUCCAGGCGGGGCUCCGCAGAGUCUCAAUGACAGGGAGGAGGCUCCUGUGCAUCUCCGCAGCCAACCCUCAGCUGUCUCCUGCCAUCCCGACACUCCCUCCUGGCCCCAGGAUGGCGUCCUGCUGGCACGGCUGGCUGCUCUGGGCCCUGCUCCUGUGCUCCGCCAGGGGCGAGCUCUACACGCCCAUCCACCGAGCCGGCUACUGCACCUCCUAUGAGGAGUGCGGCCCCAACCCGGAGCUGUCGGGAGGCCUCACAUCACUGUCCAACGUGUCCUGCUUGUCCAACACCCCGGCACGCCUCAUCACAGGUGACCACUUGGCCCUCCUGCAGCGCAUCUGUCCCCGUCUUUAUAAUGGUUCCGGUACUACCUACGCUUGCUGCUCCACCAAGCAGCUGCUGUCCCUUGAGAUGAGCAUGAGCAUCACCAAGGCCCUGCUCACGCGCUGCCCCGCCUGCUCCGACAACUUCGUCAGCCUGCACUGCCAGAACACCUGCAGUCCUGACCAGAGCCUCUUCAUCAAUGUCACCCGCGUGGCUCCUCGGGGAACCGGGCAACCACCAGCCGUGGUGGCCUAUGAGGCCUUCUACCAGCGCAGCUUUGCAGAGCGGGCCUACGAAUCCUGCAGCCGUGUACGCAUCCCCGCAGCCGCCACGCUGGCUGUGGGCAGCAUGUGCGGUGUGUACGGCUCGGACCUCUGCAACGCCCAGCGCUGGCUCAACUUCCAGGGAGACACGGGGAACGGCCUGGCCCCACUGGACAUCACCUUCCACCUAACUGAGCCCAGCCAGACCCUGAGAGAUGGGAUGCAGCCAUUGGAUGCGAUGAUCACACCCUGUAACGAGGCCCAGGGCAAUGGCACGGUGGCCUGCUCCUGCCAGGACUGCGCCGCCUCCUGCCCCGUCAUCCCCCCGCCUUCCAACCUGCGCCCCUUUUUCUACCUGGGCCUCUUGCCAGGCUGGGCGGUUAUCAUCAUCAUCUUCAGCUGUGUUUUCCUGCUGCUCACCACCAUCCUUGCCCAACUCCGUGUGACUGCCAGGAGGAAAAAGGCCAGAAGCCAAGGUCCCCCUGUGUCCCCUGUCACUUCGGAGAAACACAGGUGUUCCCCGAACACAGUUCUUGCCCGUUUCUUUGAGAGGUGGGGAAGAACGGUGGCCUCGUGGCCACUGACCGUCCUGGCAGUGUCCUUGGUGGGAGUUGUGGCCUUGGCAUCGGGCCUGACAUUCCUGGAACUCACCACGGACCCCGUGGAUCUGUGGUCAGCUCCCAACAGCCAAGCCCGGCAGGAGAAGGAGUUUCACGACCAGCAUUUUGGCCCCUUCUUCCGGACCAACCAGGUUUUCCUGACGGCAACCAAUCGGUCCAGCUAUAUGUACGACUCCCUGCUGCUGGGGCCCAAGAACUUCAGCGGGAUCCUGAGCCUGGACCUCUUGCUGGAGCUGCUGGACCUGCAGGAGAGGCUGAGGCACCUGCAAGUGUGGUCACCAGAGGCGCAACGCAACAUCUCCCUGCGGGACAUCUGCUACGCGCCCCUCAAACCACACAACACCAGCCUCUCCGACUGCUGCAUCAACAGCCUCCUGCAGUACUUCCAGAGUAACCGCACACUCCUGCUG